UCCCACUCCCACCAUCUGCCGUCAAAGCUGCUAGGAUAGGGCUUCUUCUUGCUUUGGUCUUCAACCAAGUUACACAGGUAAUUAAUUAUUUUACACUUUGCACAUUCUUCUAGAUAUAUAUAUUUAUAUUUUGUAUAUUAUCAUUAUUUUGCAGAUUUCUUAUGGGGAAAUCAAAGGGGAAGAAAAGCAAGAGCAGUGAUGAUCCAGGAUGGAAACAUUGCCAAAAAAUUGAUGAAGGAAACAUGCGAGUAAGAUGUGUACACUGUCAAGUUAUCUAUUGGGGAGGUGUUUAUCGCAUAAAACAUCAUUGAGCAGGAAUUAGAAAAGAUGUUGAACCAUGUACAAAAUGUUCUGAAGAAAUUCGAAAUUAUUUUUUAAAUUAUCUGGAAAGUCAAAAAACAAAAGGAGAUUAUGGGGAUGAUGGAAAUUUUGUUGAAGAUGAUGUUGGUGAAAUUCCUGGAAAAAGAAAAAGACGAACAAGUGAUUAAUGACAUUAGCAAUACUAUUUUUGUAUUACACUUUUUUUGGUUUUGUUAUGUUGAAAAGUCCAUGUUUAAAGAAACAUAUGACAUGGAUUUUUAUUAUAUGCAACAUGAUUUCUGCUGAAUAAUAGUAU
RNAcentral lists this long non-coding RNA (616 nucleotides) under Erythranthe guttata (spotted monkey flower). RNAcentral describes it as "long non-coding RNA (EGUT_LNC002395)". Lineage: Eukaryota; Viridiplantae; Streptophyta; Magnoliopsida; Lamiales; Phrymaceae. The record is from RNAcentral.